Molecule: ribosomal RNA, 1243 nt
Filed under: Serratia sp. SYC80
Lineage: Bacteria; Pseudomonadati; Pseudomonadota; Gammaproteobacteria; Enterobacterales; Yersiniaceae
Description: bacterial SSU rRNA
Rfam family: Bacterial small subunit ribosomal RNA
Source: RNAcentral
CAUGUGCCAAGCCACACUUGUUGGAGACAACUCUUAGCAGUACCGGUUCCAGACUCCAACGGGAGCACGGCAAGUGGGGGGACAUUGCACAUGGGCGCAGCCCGAAUGCAGGCAUGCCGCGUGUGGGAAAAGGCCUUAGGGUUGUAAGCAACUUUCAGCGAGGAGGAAAGGUUUCAGUGUUAUAAGCCACUGGUCCAUGGACGUUACUCGCAGAAGAGCCACCGGCUAAACUCCGUGCCAGCAGCCGGCGGUAAUACCGGAGGGUGCAAGCCGUUAAUCGGAAUUACUGGGCGUAAGGCGCACGCAGGCGGUUUGUUUAGUCAGAUGUGGAAUCCCCGCGCUUAACGUGGGAACUGCAUUUGAAACUGGCAAGCUAGAGUCUUGUAGAGGGGGGUAGAAUUCCCAGGUGUAGCGGUGAAAUGCGUAGAGAUCUGGAGGAAUACCGGUGGCGAAGGCGGCCCCCUGGACAAAGACUGACGCUCAGGUGCGAAAGCGUGGGGAGCAAACAGGAUUAGAUACCCCUGGUAGUCCACGCUGUAAACGAUGUCGAUUUGGAGGUUGUGCCCUUGAGGCGUGGCUUCCGGAGCUAACGCGUUAAAUCGACCGCCUGGGGAGUACGGCCGCAAGGUUAAAACUCAAAUGAAUUGACGGGGGCCCGCACAAGCGGUGGAGCAUGUGGUUUAAUUCGAUGCAACGCGAAGAACCUUACCUACUCUUGACAUCCAGAGAAUUCGCUAGAGAUAGCUUAGUGCCUUCGGGAACUCUGAGACAGGCGCUGCAUGGCUGUCGUCAGCUCGUGUUGUGAAAUGUUGGGUUAAGUCCCGCAACGAGCGCAACCCUUAUCCUUUGUUGCCAGCGAUUCGGUCGGGAACUCAAAGGAGACUGCCGGUGAUAAACCGGAGGAAGGUGGGGAUGACGUCAAGUCAUCAUGGCCCUUACGAGUAGGGCUACACACGUGCUACAAUGGCGUAUACAAAGAGAAGCGAACUCGCGAGAGCAAGCGGACCUCAUAAAGUACGUCGUAGUCCGGAUUGGAGUCUGCAACUCGACUCCAUGAAGUCGGAAUCGCUAGUAAUCGUAGAUCAGAAUGCUACGGUGAAUACGUUCCCGGGCCUUGUACACACCGCCCGUCACACCAUGGGAGUGGGUUGCAAAAGAAGUUGUAGCUUAACCUUCGGGAGGGCGCUUACCACUUUGUGAUUCAUGACUGGGGUGAAGUCGUAAAAAAGUCCCUUAGGGCCCA